Molecule: small nucleolar RNA, 76 nt
Organism: Bison bison bison
Lineage: Eukaryota; Metazoa; Chordata; Mammalia; Artiodactyla; Bovidae
Source: Ensembl
AAACAAUAAUGAAAAUUGCCAAAUCUGAGGAUGACAGAGUUAUGGAAAUACUCUAUUUCCAGAUGGAUUUCAGGGU